UACGUAGGUGGCAAGCGUUGUCCGGAUUUACUGGGCGUAAAGAGCGCGCAGGCGGUCGUUCAAGUCGAGUGUGAAAGCCCCCGGCUCAACUGGGGAGGGUCACUCGAUACUGAUCGACUCGAAGGCAGAAGAGGGAAGCGGAAUUCCCGGUGUAGUGGUGAAAUGCGUAGAUAUCGGGAGGAACACCAGUGGCGAAGGCGGCUUUCUGGUCUGCUCUUGAUGCUGAGGCGCGAAAGCGUGGGGAGCGAACAGG
RNAcentral lists this ribosomal RNA (253 nucleotides) under uncultured bacterium. RNAcentral describes it as "partial 16S ribosomal RNA". It matches the Rfam family "Bacterial small subunit ribosomal RNA", at positions 524 to 776 of the family's 1533-position model. The record is from RNAcentral.